GAUGAACGCUGGCGGCGUGCCUAAUACAUGCAAGUCGAGCGAACGGACGAGAAGCUUGCUUCUCUGAUGUUAGCGGCGGACGGGUGAGUAACACGUGGAUAACCUACCUAUAAGACUGGGAUAACUUCGGGAAACCGGAGCUAAUCCCGGAUGAUAUUUUGAACCGCAUGGUUCAAAAGUGAAAGACGGUCUUGCUGUCACUUAUAGAUGGAUCCGCGCUGCAUUAGCUAGUUGGUAAGGUAACGGCUUACCAAGGCAACGAUGCAUAGCCGACCUGAGAGGGUGAUCGGCCACACUGGAACUGAGACACGGUCCAGACUCCUACGGGAGGCAGCAGUAGGGAAUCUUCCGCAAUGGGCGCAAGCCUGACGGAGCAACGCCGCGUGAGUGAUGAAGGUCUUCGGAUCGUAAAACUCUGUUAUUAGGGAAGAACAUAUGUGUAAGUAACUGUGCACAUCUUGACGGUACCUAAUCAGAAAGCCACGGCUAACUACGUG
RNAcentral lists this ribosomal RNA (497 nucleotides) under uncultured bacterium. Its description in RNAcentral is "partial 16S ribosomal RNA". It matches the Rfam family "Bacterial small subunit ribosomal RNA", at positions 28 to 507 of the family's 1533-position model. The record is from RNAcentral.